AUUGAACGCUGGCGGCAGGCCUAACACAUGCAAGUCGAGCGGAUGAAGGGAGCUUGCUCCUGGAUUCAGCGGCGGACGGGUGAGUAAUGCCUAGGAAUCUGCCUGGUAGUGGGGGAUAACGUCCGGAAACGGGCGCUAAUACCGCAUACGUCCUGAGGGAGAAAGUGGGGGAUCUUCGGACCUCACGCUAUCAGAUGAGCCUAGGUCGGAUUAGCUAGUUGGUGGGGUAAAGGCCUACCAAGGCGACGAUCCGUAACUGGUCUGAGAGGAUGAUCAGUCACACUGGAACUGAGACACGGUCCAGACUCCUACGGGAGGCAGCAGUGGGGAAUAUUGGACAAUGGGCGAAAGCCUGAUCCAGCCAUGUCGCGUGUGUGAAGAAGGUCUUCGGAUUGUAAAGCACUUUAGGUUGGGAGGAAGGGCAGUAAGUUAAUACCUUGCUGUUUUGACGUUACCAACAGAAUAAGCACCGGCUAACUUCGUG
Molecule: ribosomal RNA, 484 nt
Filed under: uncultured bacterium
Lineage: Bacteria
Description: partial 16S ribosomal RNA
Rfam family: Bacterial small subunit ribosomal RNA
Source: RNAcentral